UGCUGUAGUUGCAAAGACUUCGGGUGGU
Molecule: non-coding RNA, 28 nt
Filed under: Bombyx mori (domestic silkworm)
Lineage: Eukaryota; Metazoa; Arthropoda; Insecta; Lepidoptera; Bombycidae
Source: RNAcentral